GCGGAUGUGGUGGAAUUGGUAGACACGCUAGCCUUAGGAGCUAGUGCCAGUCUCUGGCGUGAAGGUUCAAGUCCUUUCAUCCGCACCA
RNAcentral lists this transfer RNA (88 nucleotides) under Candidatus Saccharimonadota bacterium. RNAcentral describes it as "tRNA-Leu". It matches the Rfam family "tRNA". Rfam says of the family: Transfer RNA (tRNA) molecules are approximately 80 nucleotides in length. Their secondary structure includes four short double-helical elements and three loops (D, anti-codon, and T loops). Further hydrogen bonds mediate the characteristic L-shaped molecular structure. tRNAs have two regions of fundamental functional importance: the anti-codon, which is responsible for specific mRNA codon recognition, and the 3' end, to which the tRNAs corresponding amino acid is attached (by aminoacyl-tRNA synthetases). tRNAs cope with the degeneracy of the genetic code in two manners: having more than one tRNA (with a specific anti-codon) for a particular amino acid; and 'wobble' base-pairing, i.e. permitting non-standard base-pairing at the 3rd anti-codon position. The record is from RNAcentral. RNAcentral also lists the same sequence under 1 other name. Lineage: Bacteria; Candidatus Saccharimonadota.